RNAcentral lists this transfer RNA (542 nucleotides) under uncultured cyanobacterium. RNAcentral describes it as "partial 16S-23S ribosomal RNA intergenic spacer". The stretch from base 212 to 284 matches the Rfam family "tRNA". Lineage: Bacteria; Bacillati; Cyanobacteriota. The record is from RNAcentral.
CAGGGAGACAACAAAAUGUUUAAUAUUAUUAUUUUGUCACCUUAGGUCGAUCGGUAUCUCACGUUCUUAAUUUAUUAAGAAUUUCAUUUCCUAAGUUUUUCUAGGUCACACCCAUUAUUUUUCCUGGGCCAUUAGCUCAGGUGGUUAGAGCGCACCCCUGAUAAGGGUGAGGUCCCUGGUUCAAGUCCAGGAUGGCCCAUAUCUCUAUGUUGGGGGUAUAGCUCAGUUGGUAGAGCGCCUGCUUUGCAAGCAGGAUGUCAGCGGUUCGAGUCCGCUUACCUCCACUGAUUACCACCUCUUCCAUAAUUUGAAGAAAGGAAAUUUUUUGAGUUGUGAUCAAAUUCUGAACGAAUCUAGCUUCCUAAUGAAUCUAUUAAGAUGCUGGACUCAUUGAAUUAAUUUUCAUUGUUUUCAGAGAACCUUGACAACUGCAUAGAUUAUUUUAAAGACAAUAAGCAUCUUUAAUGAUGCAGAUUUAUUAUUUGUGCGAAUGCAUUAAUAACAAUUCUAUUAAGCUGAUGCUUCAAUUUAAUGAAGUUAUU